RNAcentral lists this ribosomal RNA (258 nucleotides) under uncultured bacterium. RNAcentral describes it as "partial 16S ribosomal RNA". It matches the Rfam family "Bacterial small subunit ribosomal RNA", at positions 74 to 334 of the family's 1533-position model. The record is from RNAcentral.
CGUUGCUUUCUUUGCUGGCGACCGGCGCACGGGUGAGUAACACGUAUCCAACCUGCCCUUUACUCGGGAUAGCCUUUCGAAAGAAAGAUUAAUACCCGAUGGGAUAAUUAUUCCGCAUGGUUUGAUUAUUAAAGGAUUCCGGUAAAGGAUGGGGAUGCGUUCCAUUAGGUUGUUGGUGAGGUAACGGCUCACCAAGCCUUCGAUGGAUAGGGGUUCUGAGAGGAAGGUCCCCCACAUUGGAACUGAGACACGGUCCAA